AUGACACUUUUAAAUAUCAAACCCAUUGCUUGGGCAUACUCUAUGAUGACAUUAGGGACUGAAAUGCUGAAUUCUGUCUUUGGUUUCUACUAUGUGAAACUUUUUCUACAUCUGUACAAGAUUUCAGAAGUGGCCUUUUAUCAAGCCCAGGUGAGAUGGAAUCUUUACACUGAAACAUCCUGUGUGUUUUUUUCUUCCUAAAUAAUUUUAAUGAUAUGGAAUGUUCUUAAUGACCUGACUGGAUAUUUUCCCAACAACUCUAAAGCCAAAUGCUGUUCAAGUCAUCAUAUUUCUGUCUUGUACUGUGUCCCUUUCUAUGCAGCAGCCUUCCUGCUCCCGUGGUUCCCUUGGAAAUACUAUCAAGAGGGUGAUUGGCUUAGUGGACUUCACCUGGUGGUAUCAUUAUGUGCGUUUGAUAGCAUGCCCACCUGUGUCCAACAAGCCCAAUGUAAACUGUUUGCAGAGAUUUUCACUAGACAUGAAAGUCGGCUUCAGCUUAUUAAAAUUAACCAAGUGGCAUCACUUGUGGGCUCUACCAGUAUCCUUUUCUAUGGCCUGAUCUCUAAUAACAUGGAAAUUUUGCCCCAUUUCCAGGCUGUUGCCAUCGUCAUUGCUUUCCUUGCUGCUGCCAGCCUUUACACUGGGAUGUAUCACGUGAGGCGUUUCGAACCUAAAAGAAGCCCCAGAGAGAACCUCCUCUUGGAAUCUGAACAGGGUCUCGCCCAGACUCCUGUCAUUUUAUCCGUGAGAUAGAUCUUGCCCAGAAAUACUUUUACCUUUUUCUGAUCAUGAAUUUCUUUCAAGUCUUUAAUUUAACCUUUUUCAGCAACUUCAUGAUGAUCUUUGCAGAUAUUCUCAUUCCCAGAGAUGUACUAUCUUCUUCUAUAAGGAGCAUUAUGUACGGGGCAGGCUUUAUUUGCCCACAGCAGUGCCUUGUACUUAUCAGUCAGUCCUGGCUGAAAAAGUUUGAUUACUAUAAGAUCAUCUUAAUUUCUUUCUAUGUAGAAGGAACAGCCUCCAUUGUAAUGUUACUCCUGGGAAAGCAAUACUAUUACUGUUUGGCUCUUUAUCUCACUAUUAUCAUGGUUAUCGUGUGAGCUUCGGUUUCCUUGUUUACCCUGCCACUAGCUGACAUGGUUGAUGCAGAUUUACUAAAGUUUAAUCAGCAGCCCCUUCCUUCAGUGGUUUUGGCAUUAAUGCUUUGUUUACCAAAUCUGCCCAGUCUUCAGCGCCCAUGGUGAUACUCUCUAGGCUAAACCAGUAUGAAUAUGGAAACACAAAUAGCAGG
This 1288-nucleotide small RNA is filed under the name Pan troglodytes (chimpanzee). RNAcentral describes it as "unitary pseudogene". Lineage: Eukaryota; Metazoa; Chordata; Mammalia; Primates; Hominidae. The record is from RNAcentral.